AUGAAGAACGUAGCGAAAUGCGAUAAGUAGUGUGAAUUGCAGAAUUCAGUGAAUCAUCGAAUCUUUGAACGCACAUUGCGCCCCUUGGUAUUCCAUGGGGCAUGCCUGUUCGAGCGUCAUCUACAACCCUCAAGCCCUGCUUGGUGUUGGGCGUCUGUCCCGCCCCCGCGCGCGGACUCGCCCCAAAUCCAUUGGCGGCGGCCCUUGCCUCCCUCUCGCGCAGCACAUUGCGCUUCUCGAGGCGUCGCGGGCCGCGCUCCACGAAGCACGCAAACCAGUCUUUGACCUCGGAUCAGGUAGGGAUACCCGCUGAACUUAAGCAUAUCAAUAAGCGGAGGA
This 339-nucleotide unclassified non-coding RNA is filed under the name soil metagenome. RNAcentral describes it as "partial contains 5.8S ribosomal RNA, internal transcribed spacer 2, and large subunit ribosomal RNA". The stretch from base 1 to 119 matches the Rfam family "5.8S ribosomal RNA", at positions 36 to 154 of the family's 154-position model. The record is from RNAcentral.